GACGAACGCUGGCGGCGUGCUUAACACAUGCAAGUCGAACGGAAAGGCUCGAGCUUGCUGCCGUACUCGAGUGGCGAACGGGUGAGUAAAACGUGGGUAAACUGCCCUGCACUCUGGGAUAAGACUGGGGAACUGGGUCUCAUACUGGGUAUGACCUUUCUCCCUAUGGGGUUUGGUGGAAAGUGUCUCGGUGUAGGAUGGGCACGCGGCCUAUCAGCUUGUUGGUGGGGUGAUGGACUACCAAGGCGACGAAGGGUAGCCGACCGGAGAGGGCGAUCGGGCACAUUGGGACUAAGAGACGGCGCAGACGCCUACGGGAGGCAGCAGUGGAAAAUAUUGCACAAUGGGCGGAAGCCUGAUGCAGCGACGCCGCGUGAGGGAAGACGUCCUUCGAGUUGUAAACCUCUGUCUACGGAGACGUAGCCUAAUUGACGGUACCUGCAGAAGAAGCACCGGCUAACUAUGUG
RNAcentral lists this ribosomal RNA (467 nucleotides) under uncultured bacterium. RNAcentral describes it as "partial 16S ribosomal RNA". It matches the Rfam family "Bacterial small subunit ribosomal RNA", at positions 28 to 507 of the family's 1533-position model. The record is from RNAcentral.